RNAcentral lists this ribosomal RNA (271 nucleotides) under uncultured bacterium. RNAcentral's name for it is "partial 16S ribosomal RNA". It matches the Rfam family "Bacterial small subunit ribosomal RNA", at positions 524 to 794 of the family's 1533-position model. The record is from RNAcentral.
UACAGAGACUGCAAGCGUUAUUCGGAUUCACUGGGCGUAAAGGGUGCGCAGGCGGCUGGGUGUGUCAGAUGUGAAAUCCCGAGGCUCAACCUCGGAACUGCGUCUGAAACUACUCGGCUAGAGUACUGGAGAGGGCAACGGAAUUCCAGGUGUAGCGGUGAAAUGCUUAGAUAUCUGGAAGAACACCGGUUGCGAAGGCUGUUGCCUGGGCCAUUAUUGACGCUCAUGCACGAAAGCGUGGGGAGCAAACAGGAUUAGAAACCCGAGUAGU